Phalacrocorax carbo (great cormorant) is the source of this 519-nucleotide non-coding RNA. Lineage: Eukaryota; Metazoa; Chordata; Aves; Suliformes; Phalacrocoracidae. The record is from RefSeq and is a predicted model, not a curated record.
GAGCCGGGCUGGGAGCUCGGCGGGACGGCUCAGCCCUCCCUCGGCCCGCCCGUGGGGGUCCCCCCGCUGCAUGGGCCGUGGCGGGGAUCCCCGCUAGGUGGGAGCCGCGCUCCGCCGCCGGCCCCGCGGGUGGGAGGGCUCCCCCGAGCCCCCUUCCACAGCUGGUCCUGCCGCACGUACUGGGAGGAAGGGGCGAGCGGUGACGGGGACCCUCCCGUGUCGCGGCGGGGGUGUUUGCUCCCACCCCGCACCGCCUGGCUGCCGCGGGUAGCUGGUACCAAGCAGCACGGAAAAGGUGUGCGGUGGACCUGCAAAAGUACAGCCAAGAUUGUCAGCCAGCCCCGCUCUGUGGGACAUCUGGAGUGACUGGAAAACACGAUAAAUGAAGGAGGGAAGGUGAGGAAGAGGAAAAUUGCAUGUGGGCACAUUUGGGGAAGAUCAUACCCCAUCCCUGCUUGUAUACAAAGACGUUACCUCCUGGCUGGCAAAAGUCAUUAGGAAACACAGGACCUGCCCCUG